GUGCUCCAUUCAGCAGUACAUAUACUAAAAUUAGAACAGCAUAAAUAUUGGCAUGGCCCCUGCACAAGGGUGACAUGUGAACUUAUGAAGCAUUCAUAUUUUUA
This is a small nuclear RNA of Dipodomys ordii (Ord's kangaroo rat), 104 nucleotides long. NCBI's taxonomy places the organism in Eukaryota, Metazoa, Chordata, Mammalia, Rodentia, Heteromyidae. The record is from Ensembl.